GACAGAGGAUGCAAGCGUUACCCGGAAUGAUUGGGCGUAAAGCGUCUGUAGGUGGCUUUUCAAGUCCGCCGUCAAAUCCCAGGGCUCAACCCUGGACAGGCGGUGGAAACUACCAAGCUGGAGUAUGGUAGGGGCAGAGGGAAUUUCUGGUGGAGCGGUGAAAUGCAUUGAGAUCGGAAAGAACACCAACGGCGAAAGCACUCUGCUGGGCCGACACUGACACUGAGAGACGAAAGCUAGGGGAGCAAAUGGG
RNAcentral lists this ribosomal RNA (253 nucleotides) under uncultured bacterium. Its description in RNAcentral is "partial 16S ribosomal RNA". It matches the Rfam family "Bacterial small subunit ribosomal RNA", at positions 524 to 776 of the family's 1533-position model. The record is from RNAcentral.